AGAGUUUGAUCCUGGCUCAGAUUGAACGCUGGCGGCAGGCCUAACACAUGCAAGUCGGGCGGCAGCGCGGGGGCAACCCUGGCGGCGAGCGGCGGACGGGUGAGGAAUGCAUCGGAAUCUGCCUCGUUGUGGGGGAUAACCCAGGGAAACUUGGGCUAAUACCGCAUGAGAUCGAGAGAUGAAAGCGGGGGACCUUCGGGCCUCGCGCGAUGAGAUGAGCCGAUGCCGGAUUAGCUAGUUGGUGGGGUAAAGGCCCACCAAGGCGACGAUCCGUAGCUGGUCUGAGAGGAUGAUCAGCCACACUGGGACUGAGACACGGCCCAGACUCCUACGGGAGGCAGCAGUGGGGAAUAUUGGACAAUGGGCGCAAGCCUGAUCCAGCCAUGCCGCGUGGGUGAAGAAGGCCUUCGGGUUGUAAAGCCCUUUUGUCCGGGACGAAAUCGCUGGGGUGAACAGUCCCAGUGGCUGACGGUACCGGAAGAAUAAGCACCGGCCAACUUCGUGCCAGCAGCCGCGGUAAUACGAAGGGUGCAAGCGUU
RNAcentral lists this ribosomal RNA (539 nucleotides) under uncultured bacterium. RNAcentral's name for it is "bacterial SSU rRNA". It matches the Rfam family "Bacterial small subunit ribosomal RNA", at positions 8 to 542 of the family's 1533-position model. The record is from RNAcentral.